RNAcentral lists this long non-coding RNA (467 nucleotides) under Homo sapiens (human). Its description in RNAcentral is "HSALNT0106912". The record is from RNAcentral. Lineage: Eukaryota; Metazoa; Chordata; Mammalia; Primates; Hominidae.
AAAUAAUUGGUUUCAUUCAUCUUUUGUAAGGAUAUUCGUGUCUCAAAUAUAUUUAGUUUUUCUGUAAUUGUAGGUAUUUAUUUUCUUCUGCUAGCUUUGGAAUUGGUUUGUUCUUUUUUUUUCUAGUUCCUUUAGGUGCAAAAUUAGAUUGUUAAUUUGAGAUAUUCAUAAUUUAUUGAUGAAGGUGUUUAGUGCUAUAAGCUUUCCUCUUAACAUUGCUUCAGCUGUAUCUCAGAGAUAUUGCUCUUGAAUUAUUUUACUGAAUGGCUUGGCUUCCUUGGAUGGGAUUUAACCUUGUUCCUGGCUCUUGAUGAGCGUCCUUGCCUUCCAGAUUCUAAGUUCCAUGACUUUCAUUUCAGUCAUUUCAGACUGGUUGAGAACCAUUACUGGGGAGCUAGUGGGCUCAUUUGGAGGAGGAGUUUGUCUUCAAUUGCAAAAAAAAAAAAAAAAAAAAAAAAAAAGAAGAA